AGACGCGGAGAUAAAAACACGGCCCGGUCGGUAGUCCGGGCGGCCCCGGACGGGGCUCAGUAACCUGCCUCCUUGGUUGUCCGUUCUCCGGAUAUUUCGG
Regulatory RNA element from Oscillibacter sp. 1-3, 100 nucleotides. It matches the Rfam family "azaaromatic riboswitch aptamer (yjdF RNA)". The record is from Rfam. Lineage: Bacteria; Bacillati; Bacillota; Clostridia; Eubacteriales; Oscillospiraceae.